This is a non-coding RNA of Schizosaccharomyces pombe (fission yeast), 269 nucleotides long. NCBI's taxonomy places the organism in Eukaryota, Fungi, Ascomycota, Schizosaccharomycetes, Schizosaccharomycetales, Schizosaccharomycetaceae. The record is from the annotation of a GenBank genome assembly.
CAAUAGCGUGCAAUACAUCCUUCUUCGUAGAAAAUCCAGAAAAAUUGUUUAAUGAUGAAUUUGAAGAUGCUGGUUCGGUAGGACGUUUAACAUUCAACAAUUGUCGUGGUGUGCGAACAGUAUUAACAGCAAUUUUACCAAGAGCACCUUCUAAAGACAACUGAGUUGCCUUAGGGCGCUCUUUGGCAGAAGAAACCAAACGCUGAAGUUGCUGUUGUAAUUUCUGCAUAGGAUUUUCGGAGCGACGACCACGACGGCGAUUAUUGCUA